ACUCAAAUGAAUUGACGGGGGCCCGCACAAGCAGCGGAGCGUGUGGUUUAAUUCGAUGCAACGCGAAGAACCUUACCUAGACUUGACAUGGCGCUGUAAGCCGCGGAAACGCGGCCCCCCUUCGGGGCAGCGUCACAGAUGUUGCAUGGCUGUCGUCAGCUCGUGUCGUGAGAUGUUGGGUUAAGUCCCGCAACGAGCGCAACCCUCGUCCCGUGUUGUCUUCUCACGGGAGACUGCCUCCAAAAGAGGAGGAAGGUGGGGAUGACGUCAAGUCCGCAUGGCUCUUACGUCUAGGGCUACACACACGCUACAAUGGCCAGGACAAUGCGCAGCCACGGGGCGACCCGGCGCGAAUCGCGAAACCUGGUCUCAGUUCGGAUGGUAGGCUGCAACUCGCCUGCCUGAAGUCGGAGUUGCUAGUAACCGCGUGUCAGCACAGCGCGGUGAAUAUGUUCCCGGGCCUUGUACACACCGCCCGU
This 479-nucleotide ribosomal RNA is filed under the name uncultured bacterium. RNAcentral's name for it is "partial 16S ribosomal RNA". It matches the Rfam family "Bacterial small subunit ribosomal RNA", at positions 899 to 1397 of the family's 1533-position model. The record is from RNAcentral.